UACGGAGGGUGCAAGCGCUAUCCGGAUUCACUGGGUUUAAAGGGUGCGUAGGUGGGUUGAUAAGUCAGUGGUGAAAUCCCCGAGCUUAACUUGGGAACUGCCAUUGAUACUAUUGAUCUUGAAUACCGUGGAGGUCAGCGGAAUAUGUCAUGUAGCGGUGAAAUGCUUAGAUAUGACAUAGAACACCAAUUGCGAAGGCAGCUGGCUACGCGAAUAUUGACACUGAUGCACGAAAGCGUGGGGAUCAAACAGG
This 253-nucleotide ribosomal RNA is filed under the name uncultured bacterium. Its description in RNAcentral is "partial 16S ribosomal RNA". It matches the Rfam family "Bacterial small subunit ribosomal RNA", at positions 524 to 776 of the family's 1533-position model. The record is from RNAcentral.